Long non-coding RNA from Zalophus californianus (California sea lion), 751 nucleotides. RefSeq lists it as uncharacterized. The record is from RefSeq and is a predicted model, not a curated record. The transcript has 5 exons. NCBI's taxonomy places the organism in Eukaryota, Metazoa, Chordata, Mammalia, Carnivora, Otariidae.
GUUCGAGAGGGUCUGUGGGAGUCCCAAGACCAUGGACUUGGCCGUGGGCUGACCAUCACUCUCACGGGCUAUGAAAAGAGAAGGGGAAGGGGAAGAAAACCGAUGGCAGAGCCUUGGGUAUUGAUGAGAACGAGCUGGGAUCCUGAUGCAGAUGAGAAGAUGUGUGAGCAAACAAGUGGAAACUGAAAGAACAUGGAGUGUUUCUAAGGAAUAUGACGAAUCUGGCCAACUGUGGACCAGGGAGGCUUCCUGUGACCCAAUCUCUCAAGUGCCCAGCCAAGAACCCAGGGCUCCUGGCUCCACGCCCAGCAUGGAAUUCAACAUGGGGCUUGAACUCAACGACCUCGAGAUCAAGACCUGAGCUGAGAUCAAGAGUUGGAUGCUUAACUGACUGAGCCACUCAGGUGCCCUGAAGAGGAUAAUUACUGAAGAGCUUUCACCAGGCCAGGGACACUUUGUGCAAAUCCAGCCUUCACUCUUCACUCCUGUCUCCCUCAGAGGCUGUCCCACUUGCCACCGGGGCCAGUGCUUUUAGAGCAGACCUUCGAGUUAUAACCUUGCCUUGGAAGGCUGCAGAAGUGUGCAGAAGAUCCAACCUGAGACCCUUGGGCUGUUCCAGCUUCCAACACACAGGAGUGAAGGUAAAGGCCACAGCUGUGGUCUCCAGAGGCAGGAAACACCAUCCCUUCUCUUGAGACAUGGGCUAGACAUUGUGCUGCAUUGUUGGGUCAGCAAUGUGUACCAGAAUUCU